RNAcentral lists this ribosomal RNA (254 nucleotides) under uncultured bacterium. Its description in RNAcentral is "partial 16S ribosomal RNA". It matches the Rfam family "Bacterial small subunit ribosomal RNA", at positions 524 to 776 of the family's 1533-position model. The record is from RNAcentral.
UACGUAGGGUGCGAGCGUUAAUCGGAACUACUGGGCGUAAAGCGUGCGCAGGCGGUCUGUUAAGACCGAUGUGAAAUCCCCGGGCUUAACCUGGGAACUGCAUUGGUGACUGGCAGGCUUUGAGUGUGGCAGAGGGAGGUAGAAUUCCACGUGUAGCAGUGAAAUGCGUAGAGAUGUGGAGGAAUACCGAUGGCGAAGGCAGCCUCCUGGGCCAACACUGACGCUCAUGCACGAAAGCGUGGGGAGCAAACAGG